GACGAACGCUGGCGGCGUGCUUAACACAUGCAAGUCGAACGGUGAAGCGCCUUCCUUUUUGGUGGGUGUGGAUGAGUGGCGAACGGGUGAGUAACACGUGAGUAACCUGCCCCCUUCUUCUGGAUAACCGCAUGAAAGUGUGGCUAAUACGGGAUAUUCUGGGUCUGUCGCAUGAUGGGUCUGGGAAAGAUAUUGUUUCGGUGGGGGAUGGGCUCGCGGCCUAUCAGCUUGUUGGUGGGGUGAUGGCCUACCAAGGCGGUGACGGGUAGCCGGCCUGAGAGGGUGGACGGUCACACUGGGACUGAGACACGGCCCAGACUCCUACGGGAGGCAGCAGUGGGGAAUAUUGCACAAUGGGCGCAAGCCUGAUGCAGCGACGCCGCGUGAGGGAUGGAGGCCUUCGGGUUGUGAACCUCUUUCGCCAGUGAAGCAGGCCUGCCUCGUUUGUGGGUGGGUUGACGGUAGCUGGAGAAGAAGCGCCAGCUAACUACGUG
Molecule: ribosomal RNA, 494 nt
Filed under: uncultured bacterium
Lineage: Bacteria
Description: partial 16S ribosomal RNA
Rfam family: Bacterial small subunit ribosomal RNA
Source: RNAcentral